RNAcentral lists this transfer RNA (70 nucleotides) under Dipodomys ordii (Ord's kangaroo rat). It matches the Rfam family "tRNA". From Rfam's summary of the family: Transfer RNA (tRNA) molecules are approximately 80 nucleotides in length. Their secondary structure includes four short double-helical elements and three loops (D, anti-codon, and T loops). The record is from Rfam by way of RNAcentral. Lineage: Eukaryota; Metazoa; Chordata; Mammalia; Rodentia; Heteromyidae.
GGGAAUGUAGCUUAGUGGUAGAGUGCUUGCCUAGCAUGCAUGAAGCCCUGGGUUCAAUUCCUCAGAACCA